GAAUAAAAGCAGGCUGCCAAGAGCCAGCUGCGGCAAGUCGCUCAGGUCUCCAGCUUAGUUGUUUUGCUCUCUGCAGUAACUCUUGCUGGUGCUAACUGUUUGGGUCCGCACUGUCUUUGUGAGCUGUGACACUCAUGGCGAAGGUCUGCAGCUUCACUCUUGAGGCCAGCAAGACCACGAACCCACUGGGAGGAAUGAACAACUCCAGACGCACCGCCUUGAGAGCUGUAACACUCACCGCCAAGGUCUGCAGCUUCACUCCUGAAGCCAGGGAGAUCACGAACCCACCAGAAGGAAGAAACUCCAAACACGUCCGAACAUCAGAAGGAACAAACUCCCGACACACCAUCUUUAAGAACUGUAACACUCACCGAGGCAGCUGUAUGGAGGCCAAUAUGCAGACAAGGGAAGUAACUCAGGCAUUUUGGGGGAGAGGUACAGAAAGAAGAGAAAAGACUGAACUGACUGCUGUUCUGAACAAGAACUGUGACUAUAUGUGGUACUCCCAGAAUGCUGGUUUCCUUUCAGACCCAUCAAGUGGCCAUCCUAUUGGCUUGGACUGAAGACCCCCACUGGAGAACUGUCUCUGCAGCCUAUACUGAUGACACUGGCCACUGUCCAGGGCUCCACCCCAAGGAGUCCAAGCCCCAGACAUUUAGCCUUAGAGAGAAUCCAGAUUUUGCAUUUCCAGUGCAGGGAUUGAUGGAGCCUUGUGUAUCAAAGUGCCAAUUUCUUUCUAACAAGCUAGGGAGGAUACCGUUGACAGCAGCAGAAAGGGGUAGCAGUGGUUUGCUUUCCAAAUGGUAAUAAGAAGGGCCUGGCAGUGGCAACCUGUCCACGUAUCAUUAAAAAUGGACUCUCCUGCUUCGUUUGGAAUUCAACCCAAUGAACUUGAAUAAACUCUGGACAAUGACCAGCACAGAGCCCUAAGCAGGAUACAGCAAGAUUAUUUGCUUUACUCAUCCACUGAGUACCUACCAUGUGCCAAAUACUAUGCUAUAUGCCGAGUAUACACUGGCAAAUAAAACAGAUAUGGUCCCUGGAGCCUAUGAAUCUUACCCCAUCUAGCCACAAAUAAUAAAAAUAAGAAGAAUCUGAAGGACAAGUGGGACAGAAAUACUCAAGCAGAAUGAGGGUGAGAUUGAAGUCCCUGAACAUACAGUGCCCUUUACACUUGAUCUUAGCCAAAAGGCCGAGAAGAGAUUACAGUGCUUUUUAAAGGUAGCAUUUCACCCAGCCAAUAAUCAAUCCCUUUGGCCUUCUUGAGGUGCAAGGCCACACACUCAAAUUCUUUAAUCAAACAAUAGGCUAGUGCAAAUGGAGCUAUUUCUUAAACCCAGCUGUUUACACAGCAGCUACAAAUCUGUUCAGAAGGAAUCCCCCACCAUCCACAACUGUCUAUCGAGCAGAUGUGCAAGAGUAUUUGUCUCUCACCACCAGGGUUGCAGUCAGGACAAGAGAGCAGGUUUGAACGUCUUCGGCUCCUAGAACUGCACAAGCUGUGUCUUCAGUGCCCAGAGGCGGCUGCAACGUCUCCCCAGUUCUCCUCUCAGAACAAUGGAAAUUUUUUUUAGAGGCGUAAUAGGAAGGUUUGCAUUGAAUUAUUAAACAAUGGGUAUUGAAAAAUAUGUUUUCUUUGACCUCUGUACUUCUAGCUUUUACCAGUCAGUGUUUUCUUGUACCAAGGCUAAGAUAUGUAUAACACUGAAAUGGAUGUCUUCUUAUAUAAUAUUUUACAAGCUUUUGAAAACCUGUGCCCUUUAAUAAAUUUUAAAACGUUUCAUGC
Molecule: long non-coding RNA, 1786 nt
Filed under: Homo sapiens (human)
Lineage: Eukaryota; Metazoa; Chordata; Mammalia; Primates; Hominidae
Description: ovarian adenocarcinoma amplified long non-coding RNA
Source: RNAcentral